CGCACGCGUGCUACACUGAGCGGGUCAACGGGUGAGGAUGUGCGAGAGCGCUUCCCAAUCUCUAAAUCCGCUCGUGCUGGGGAUCGAGGCUUGCAAUUUUCCCUCUUGAACGAGGAAUACCUUGUAAGCAUGGGUCAUCAUCCCGUGCUGAAUACGUCCCUGCCCUUUGUACACACCGCCCGUCGCUCCUACCGAUUGAGUGGUCCGGUGAGGCCUUGGGAGGGAAAGAUGGACUGUGUUUCACGGACCGUCUGGCUCAAACUUGGUCAAACCUUAUCACUUAGAGGAAGGAGAAGUCGUAACAAGGUUUCCGUAGGUGAACCUGCGGAAGGAUCAUUCGA
RNAcentral lists this ribosomal RNA (341 nucleotides) under Kappaphycus alvarezii. RNAcentral's name for it is "SSU rRNA". It matches the Rfam family "Eukaryotic small subunit ribosomal RNA", at positions 1488 to 1831 of the family's 1831-position model. The record is from RNAcentral. RNAcentral also lists the same sequence under 2 other names. Lineage: Eukaryota; Rhodophyta; Florideophyceae; Gigartinales; Solieriaceae.